Molecule: non-coding RNA, 29 nt
Filed under: Rattus norvegicus (Norway rat)
Lineage: Eukaryota; Metazoa; Chordata; Mammalia; Rodentia; Muridae
Source: RNAcentral
CGAUAUGAAUUGCAAAAACCAGCAGGCCU